Molecule: long non-coding RNA, 627 nt
Organism: Poecilia reticulata (guppy)
Lineage: Eukaryota; Metazoa; Chordata; Actinopteri; Cyprinodontiformes; Poeciliidae
Source: RefSeq, a predicted model, not a curated record
GUGUGCGUGUGUGGGCAUGUGGUGGAAGUGAUGCAGGGGGGCCGCCUGGUGGAUGAUCGCUGGAGGGCGUGACCAGGGACGCCGGGAUCCUCACACCUGUCGGAGAUUGUUUCAUCUCCGAAGAGGCUUAAGAGUGGAGUCAGCAACACAUCGAUGCCAGAUUGUUAACCAGUAAUGACAACCUCCUCGUGAUGUCCUGGAUCAACCCCCGAGGCUUAGAGCUCCUGGCUGUACCUGACCCUCUUACCCCUCGCUGGUUGCCCACCUCGAUCUGCCCCGGUAAGCUGAGGUCCGCAGCUGUCCGCCCUGCGACGCCGUCCCCUGGUUCCCACCUACACCGGCUGGUUCCGCAGCAGAUCCCCAUACCCGAAACGAACCCAGGAAGUCCCAGUAUCCACCCCCACUUACAUGCCGCCUGACAUAGUAAUACCGGUCCCGCUCAUUCAGAACCCAAACAUCCCACAGACCUUUACUCAUCAUUCAUCCUUUCUUCCAGCCGGUUCCUGUGCUGAGUUCCAAGAACCCUGCUGAAGCUGUAUUGUCUUGUUGUUUUCCUAUGUCUGUUACUACCCAAUAGUAAGUCCCGCCUACUCCUCACAACUCUUUGGACUCACUACUGCCCAGUUC